RNAcentral lists this small RNA (65 nucleotides) under Enterobacter huaxiensis. Its description in RNAcentral is "Salmonella enterica sRNA STnc40". It matches the Rfam family "Salmonella enterica sRNA STnc40". Lineage: Bacteria; Pseudomonadati; Pseudomonadota; Gammaproteobacteria; Enterobacterales; Enterobacteriaceae. The record is from RNAcentral.
GUGCCACGGCCGUCUGAACUAAGACGUUAACGAAUCGAAAAGGCGCAGAUAUCUGCGCCUUUUUU